GCUGCCCAGCCUGGGGCCUCAGGGAGCAGAAGCGGGGCACCUCCACCAUGGCCUGGACCCCUCUCCUCCUCGGCCUCCUGGCUCACUGCACAGGCUCUGUGUCCUCCUACGAGCUGACACAGCCGUCCUCAGUGUCGGUGCAGCCGGGACAGACGGCCAGGAUCACCUGUGGGGGAGACAACAUUGGUAGUAAAAGUGCUCACUGGUACCAGCAGAAGCCCAGCCAGGCCCCUGUGCUGGUCAUCUACGAUGAACAAGAACGGCCCUCAGGGAUCCCUGAGCGAUUCUCAGGUGCCAACUCAGGGAACACGGCCACCCUGACCAUCAGCGGGGCCCAGGCCCAGGAUGAGGCUGACUACUACUGUCAGGUGUGGGAUAGCAGUGGUGAUGCUCACAGGGACACAGACAGACGGGGAAGUGAGACAAAAACCUCACUCGGAGUCACACUCUCUCAAGCUGCAGGGGGACUGCAGACAAAGCCAUGA
Molecule: non-coding RNA, 485 nt
Organism: Artibeus jamaicensis (Jamaican fruit-eating bat)
Lineage: Eukaryota; Metazoa; Chordata; Mammalia; Chiroptera; Phyllostomidae
Source: the annotation of a RefSeq genome assembly